Molecule: ribosomal RNA, 303 nt
Filed under: uncultured Cryomorphaceae bacterium
Lineage: Bacteria; Pseudomonadati; Bacteroidota; Flavobacteriia; Flavobacteriales; Cryomorphaceae
Description: bacterial LSU rRNA
Rfam family: Bacterial large subunit ribosomal RNA
Source: RNAcentral
AAGAAAGUAAGUAAGGGCGCAUGGCGGAUGCCUUGGCUCUCAGAGGCGAUGAAGGACGUGAUAAGCUGCGAUAAGCUUCGGGUAGGUGCAAAUAACCUUUUAUCCGGAGAUUUCCGAAUGGGGCAACCCAGUGUUAUGAAGUAACAUUAUUCCUGCUUGCAGGAAAGCUAACCCAGUGAACUGAAACAUCUAAGUAACUGGAGGAAUAGAAAACAAUAGUGAUUCCCUUAGUAGCGGCGGGCGAAAGGGGAAUAGCCCAAAUCUCAGCGGUUUCGGCCGUUGAGAGGUUGUAGGACUGCAUUG